AGUGAACGCUGGCGGUAGGCCUAACACAUGCAAGUCGAACGGCAGCACAGUAAGAGCUUGCUCUUACGGGUGGCGAGUGGCGGACGGGUGAGGAAUACAUCGGAAUCUACUUUUUCGUGGGGGAUAACGUAGGGAAACUUACGCUAAUACCGCAUACGACCUACGGGUGAAAGCAGGGGAUCUUCGGACCUUGCGCGAUUGAAUGAGCCGAUGUCGGAUUAGCUAGUUGGCGGGGUAAAGGCCCACCAAGGCGACGAUCCGUAGCUGGUCUGAGAGGAUGAUCAGCCACACUGGAACUGAGACACGGUCCAGACCCCUACGGGAGGCAGCAGUGGGGAAUAUUGGACAAUGGGCGCAAGCCUGAUCCAGCCAUACCGCGUGGGUGAAGAAGGCCUUCGGGUUGUAAAGCCCCUUUGUUGGGAAAGAAAAGCAGCAGGUUAAUACCCCGCUGUUCUGACGGUACCCAAAGAAUAAGCACCGGCUAACUUCGUG
This 492-nucleotide ribosomal RNA is filed under the name uncultured bacterium. Its description in RNAcentral is "partial 16S ribosomal RNA". It matches the Rfam family "Bacterial small subunit ribosomal RNA", at positions 29 to 507 of the family's 1533-position model. The record is from RNAcentral.